This is a non-coding RNA of Pteropus alecto (black flying fox), 73 nucleotides long. NCBI's taxonomy places the organism in Eukaryota, Metazoa, Chordata, Mammalia, Chiroptera, Pteropodidae. The record is from Rfam.
GGUUCCAUAGUGUAGAGGUUCGCACAUCUGCUUUACAUGCAGAAGGUCCUGGUUUUAUACCCCAAUGGAGCCA